This 150-nucleotide ribosomal RNA is filed under the name uncultured Glomus. Its description in RNAcentral is "5.8S ribosomal RNA". It matches the Rfam family "5.8S ribosomal RNA". Rfam says of the family: 5.8S ribosomal RNA (5.8S rRNA) is a component of the large subunit of the eukaryotic ribosome. It is transcribed by RNA polymerase I as part of the 45S precursor that also contains 18S and 28S rRNA. Lineage: Eukaryota; Fungi; Glomeromycota; Glomeromycetes; Glomerales; Glomeraceae. The record is from RNAcentral.
ACUUUCAACAACGGAUCUCUUGGCUCUCGCAUCGAUGAAGAACGUAGCGAAGUGCGAUAAGUAGUGUGAAUUGCAGAAUUCCAUGAAUCAUCGAAUCUUUGAACGCAAAUUGCACUCUCUUCGGAGAGUAUGCCUGUUUGAGGGUCAGUA